This 482-nucleotide ribosomal RNA is filed under the name uncultured bacterium. RNAcentral's name for it is "bacterial SSU rRNA". It matches the Rfam family "Bacterial small subunit ribosomal RNA", at positions 30 to 507 of the family's 1533-position model. The record is from RNAcentral.
UGAACGCUAGCGGCAGGCUUAAUACAUGCAAGUCGUGGGGCAGCAUGAGUAGCAAUACUUGAUGGCGACCGGCAAACGGGUGAGGAACACGUGCACAACCUUCCUUCAAGCGGGGAAUAGCCCAGAGAAAUUUGGAUUAAUACCCCAUAAUAUAUUUGAUAAGGCAUCUUAUUAAUAUUAAAGCUUCGGCACUUGAUGAUGGGUGUGCGGCUGAUUAGAUAGUUGGCGGGGUAACGGCCCACCAAGUCUACGAUCAGUAGCUGAUGUGAGAGCAUGAUCAGCCACACGGGCACUGAGACACGGGCCCGACUCCUACGGGAGGCAGCAGUAAGGAAUAUUGGACAAUGGACGAAAGUCUGAUCCAGCCAUGCCGCGUGAAGGAUUAAGGUCCUCUGGAUUGUAAACUUCUUUAUAUGGGACGAAAAAAGGGCAUUCUUGUUCACUUGACGGUACCAUAUGAAUAAGCACCGGCUAACUCCGUG